GCCUAACACAUGCAAGUCGAGCGGUAACAUUUCAAAAGCUUGCUUUUGAAGAUGACGAGCGGCGGACGGGUGAGUAAUGCCUGGGAAUUUGCCCAUUUGUGGGGGAUAACAGUUGGAAACGACUGCUAAUACCGCAUACGCCCUACGGGGGAAAGCAGGGGACCUUAGGGCCUUGCGCUGAUGGAUAAGCCCAGGUGGGAUUAGCUAGUAGGUGAGGUAAAGGCUCACCUAGGCGACGAUCCCUAGCUGGUCUGAGAGGAUGAUCAGCCACACUGGGACUGAGACACGGCCCAGACUCCUACGGGAGGCAGCAGUGGGGAAUAUUGCACAAUGGGGGAAACCCUGAUGCAGCCAUGCCGCGUGUGUGAAGAAGGCCUUCGGGUUGUAAAGCACUUUCAGCGAGGAGGAAAGGGUGUAAGUUAAUACCUUACAUCUGUGACGUUACUCGCAGAAGAAGCACCGGCUAACUCCGUGCCAGCAGCCGCGGUAAUACGGAGGGUGCGAGCGUUAAUCGGAAUUACUGGGCGUAAAGCGUGCGCAGGCGGUUUGUUAAGCGAGAUGUGAAAGCCCCGGGCUCAACCUGGGAACCGCAUUUCGAACUGGCAAACUAGAGUCUUGUAGAGGGGGGUAGAAUUCCAGGUGUAGCGGUGAAAUGCGUAGAGAUCUGGAGGAAUACCGGUGGCGAAGGCGGCCCCCUGGACAAAGACUGACGCUCAGGCACGAAAGC
This 727-nucleotide ribosomal RNA is filed under the name Shewanella algae. RNAcentral describes it as "bacterial SSU rRNA". It matches the Rfam family "Bacterial small subunit ribosomal RNA", at positions 46 to 760 of the family's 1533-position model. The record is from RNAcentral. Lineage: Bacteria; Pseudomonadati; Pseudomonadota; Gammaproteobacteria; Alteromonadales; Shewanellaceae.